AACGAACGCUGGCGGCGCGCCUAACACAUGCAAGUCGAACGAGAAGGCGGGGCAACCCGCUUGUACAGUGGCGAACGGGUGAGUAAUGCAUGGGUAACCUACCCUCGAGUGGGGGAUAACCAGCCGAAAGGUUGGCUAAUACCGCGUACGCUUCCAUUCUCACGGGAGUGGAAGGAAAGCUGCACCAUGGGUGUGGCGCUCAAGGAUGGGCUCAUGUCCUAUCAGCUUGUUGGUGAGGUAAUGGCUCACCAAGGCAUCGACGGGUAGCUGGUCUGAG
Molecule: ribosomal RNA, 277 nt
Filed under: uncultured bacterium
Lineage: Bacteria
Description: partial 16S ribosomal RNA
Rfam family: Bacterial small subunit ribosomal RNA
Source: RNAcentral